AAUGAAGAAACUUUAGGGACACUUUAGAAGUAACUUAAAAUAAAUUGAAAAAUAAAAUAAGGUUUUUCAAUUAGGUCAUUCUACGGUUUUGUAAAUAGACUAGAAAUUUAUCACCAUCUCUAUAGAAUGGUAGAUUAUUGCUAUCUCUAUUUCCUUUAAUGUAUAAUCAUAACGAACUUUUUUCACCAAAAUUAUGCCAUGGUUGAAGGUAUUACCGAAAAUAUUUAAAUUAGCACAAAGUCAGAUUAUUUUCUUAAAUGAAAUUCCAUAUCAAUUUUUUUAAAAUGAAAAUGUGUUUUUGCUCAUAUAACCUCUCGUAAUGUUUUUUUAGAGCUUUUAAGCCUCUAACCUUCUUCUUCUCCUCUUUAUGGCGAGCUAAAACAGCUAAACUGCCAAAAAGCCUCUAACCAACACAUGACAGAGAAGUAAAAUGACACACCUUUAAAUUGCACUCUCUGCGUACGUUAAAACUCCUCACGAUAAAACCCUUAUUCUCAAGUUUGUGUUCAGUCCCAUUUUGCUCUUCCGUUACAAAAUGAGUUUUCAAAAAUUUUAUCGAAUUUUUAUUUUAUUUUGCCUAGAAAAGUUUCCAAAAAAUUAUUAUCCAAGGUUUAUAAUUUAUUGUUUUGAUUUUUCUCUAACCUAUAACUCAGGACUAACAAUUCGUGGAGGCCGAAAUUCACAUAGCAACAUAGGCUUGUAUCAAACAAGAUUACUUAGGGGAUUAAGCUUCCCAUAUUUGGAUAUUGCUUAUUUUCAGUGAUGUUUACAUUUUCCUACGAGAUUGUUUUGGAUUUUUUUUAUUAAUUCAUAGUUGAAUAUUUAGAUAAUUUGUUUCUUUUUUCUGGAUUAUGGUUGACUUGAUUUAACUUGAUUCAACAACUAUAAAUAGGAUUUACAAACAGAUUGUCAAGCUAAUGACUGAGCAUUGUGAGAGCGCUUAUUGAAGGGGAUCUGAAUAUCACAACAGUUUCUAAAAUUGUGGAGGAUCAUCUGGCUAUCGAACUGAUAUCCAAACCGCAACACACCGGUGACGAUAUUGUAACUCUGACUGCCUUCAGAAUCUAACGUACCCCCUUUAUGAGGACAUCACAUCAGUUGUAUUGUAACCCAAGAACAGAAGACGUUAUUUUUAAAGGAUCCGAUUAUUCGCAAAUUUCUUUUUUGUUCAGCUUGCCGAUCUCGUUUGAAGGCUGAUGAUUCGGGAGUAAUGGAAACAUUAUCCAUGGAAGAAGUUUUUGUGUUGCGGGAGAAAACCGUGGUUUUGAACUUCAUGCAUGCUCGUUCUUCCAGAACAGGUUUGAGCAAGAACGAAUCCAUCAUGCGUUGAGGACAUUUUGAAGAAAGGAAUGUUGCCGGUUAUUUUCGGUUGUGAUGUUCCGAAUACUGCUGAUCGCCCUAAUAAGGGUUUGGAUUUUAACCAAUUGUUAGCUAACAUUCCCUUUUUAUGUUCAAGAAAUUGAAAACAGUUAGCAUGUACCGAUGCAUAGAAAAUUCUCGAUCGUGGAAAUCAUUAAAACUGACGUUUAUCAGAACAAACAUCAUUGGUAGUGGCCGCAGGUUACUGGAGGAUGGAACAAGAUUCGUGAUAGUGUAAAUUGUGUAGGUGUAGAAUUGAUUUGAUUUUGCAUGUAUUUAGUGAGUGGAUUUCAUUGUAAAUAAAUGUUCUUAUAAAGGCAAAU
Molecule: long non-coding RNA, 1682 nt
Organism: Uranotaenia lowii
Lineage: Eukaryota; Metazoa; Arthropoda; Insecta; Diptera; Culicidae
Exons: 3
Source: RefSeq, a predicted model, not a curated record